Molecule: ribosomal RNA, 849 nt
Filed under: uncultured bacterium
Lineage: Bacteria
Description: bacterial SSU rRNA
Rfam family: Bacterial small subunit ribosomal RNA
Source: RNAcentral
CUUACACAUGCAGUCGAGGGGCACAUAAGUAGCAAUAUUUGAUGGCGACCGGCGCACGGGUGAGUAACGCGUAUGCAACCUACCUUUAACCGGGGGAUAGCCCAUGGAAACGUGGAUUAAUACCCUAUAAUACUUAAUAAUGGCAUCAUUAAUAAGUUAAAACUACGGUGGUAAAAGAUGGGCAUGCGUGCCAUUAGCUAGUUGGUAAGGUAACGGCUUACCAAGGCGAUGAUGGCUAGGGGGUCUUAAAGGAUAAUCCCCCACACUGGUACUGAGACACGGACCAGACUCCUACGGGAGGCAGCAGUGAGGAAUAUUGGUCAAUGGGCGGAAGCCUGAACCAGCCAUGCCGCGUGCAGGAUGAAGGCCCUAUGGGUCGUAAACUGCUUUUAUGAGAGAAGAAACCUGGUUACGAGUAAUCAGUUGACAGUAUCUUAUGAAUAAGCAUCGGCUAACUCCGUGCCAGCAGCCGCGGUAAUACGGAGGAUGCAGGCGUUAUCCGGAUUUAUUAGGUUUAAAGGGUGCGUAGGCGGGACUAUAAGUCAGUGGUGAAAUCCUGCAGCUUAACUGUAGAACAGCCAUUGAUACUGUAGACCUUGAAUUUAGUUGAAGUAGGCGGAAUGUGUAGUGUAGCGGUGAAAUGCUUAGAUAUUACACAGAACACCAAUUGCGAAGGCAGCUUACUAAGCUAAUAUUGACGCUGAUGCACGAAAGCGUGGGUAGCGAACAGGAUUAGAUACCCUGGUAGUCCACGCCGUAAACGAUGAUAACUCGUUGUUGGGCGAUACACAGUCAGCGACUGAGCGAAAGCAUUAAGUUAUCCACCUGGGGAGUACGGUCGCAAGACUG